AAGCCAAAUCUGAAGCAAAUACUAGCCGCUUCACACAGGCCUAUUGUAUACCAUAUAGCUUGCACUUAUUAAUACAUAAGUAGCUUAAGCUUUGCUUCUAAUGCGUAUUAAUAAUCUUGCUUCUGUUUCCUAUACAUGGUUACCUUUUAACUGGAAUUUUCUCUUCUGAGGUAAUCUUCUCAUUCUUAAGUGGUGGUAGGCUUCGCUCUAACUGGUUCUCUUUUGCCCAGACUAUUCAAUUUAGUUAGCCAACUUCCCAAUUUUUUUUUCGCUUUGAAGUCGGGGGGCAGUAUUUCUCCAUCUGCUCCUUUUCACUGGGUGCAAGUCUCAACCACAAUUCAAGCUAAGCACACAGCUUGAGCUAAGCCCAAAGGUCAAACCCAGGUCUGAAGGGCCCUGGGUCCCAACCGCGUCUUGCUGACAUCUCUGUGUAACAGUGUAAUCCACCUAAAGAAAACUGUAGACAUCAGUUGCCUGAUAAGGGUGAAUAAAUGAACCUCCUAGGAACAUCAAGCUAGUCUCCUGGGAUGUUAGUGAAGACCUGUUUAGCCAUGGAAGCCCUAUUUGUAAGGUCAGAAAGUGUCUCUACAGAAGGAGAGAGCCCUGUCUGAGUUCCUCUUUCCCUGUGUGUUUCUCUAGGCUGAACAGCAUACUACUAGUCAGGAAAUUCACUGCAACUUGGUUCUUAUCCAUUCCCUCAUUCCUCCAAAAUGGAGUGAAUGCUAAAUGGUGUGUUAAUGUCAGGAGGAUGAAUUAGUGUUUCCAGACAUCAUUGAAAAUAAGUGUGUGGGAAGGAGGAAGGGAGAGCUCAUCAAACUGCUGGGCCAGGAGCUGCUAUGAGAGUUUCCCUGACAGUGCAGGAGAAAGAUGGAUGGAUGGAUAUUAAUAGGAGACAACAUGGACAUCUCCUAGCUGGGAACAGAACAGCACAAGCCAUUCCAUUUCACCUGGUUUCUUCUGUUGAGAAGCUCUCCAUAACGGCAAGGAGUCCCAUCAACUAUGAGUUGCCAGGUGGUGAAAGAAGGUGGUAGAAGCAGCUCCAGAAGCAACCUAAUAAGCAAAUGCCACCUCUUUUUCCCAGCAGGCAGCUUGGAGAGGCUUUUUUUAAAAUCGAUUGUGCUGUCAUUGGUACUUGAGCUCAAGAGAUUAAAGCUCUCCCAGGUAUGUUGAUCACAUCUCUGGGUUUGAGUAGAUCAAUUCUUCCCCUGUCUGAAGGUCAGAUCCGUGGCGGGGUUCCAUUCCUUGGUGCAGGAAGGUCCAGCCAGCCUUGUGUUCCUCAUGCCAUCUCAAAGGUCUGUCCAGCACUGAAACUAAAGGCAUUGAAAGUCUUGCUCACUAUGCACAUGUGGGUCUGUAACCUGCACCUUUGUCAUUUAAUAAACUUACCUGGGGGUUCUUGUGUCUCAACUUUGUAUGGUACAUGUGGCCCAAUGAAGGACCUGCAACCUAUGUACAUUUGUCUGCCUCCUUGCAUAUACAACAUGGGUAAGUAGUCUAUAUUCCUAAUAAAAACCAGUCCUACCUGAUCUCUC
This is a long non-coding RNA of Gavialis gangeticus (Gharial), 1532 nucleotides long. RefSeq lists it as uncharacterized. NCBI's taxonomy places the organism in Eukaryota, Metazoa, Chordata, Crocodylia, Gavialidae. The record is from RefSeq and is a predicted model, not a curated record. The transcript is spliced from 2 exons.